RNAcentral lists this ribosomal RNA (253 nucleotides) under uncultured bacterium. RNAcentral's name for it is "partial 16S ribosomal RNA". It matches the Rfam family "Bacterial small subunit ribosomal RNA", at positions 524 to 776 of the family's 1533-position model. The record is from RNAcentral.
UACAGAGGUCUCAAGCGUUGUUCGGAUUCAUUGGGCGUAAAGAGCUCGUAGGUGGCUUGUCGCGUCUGCCGUGAAAGCCCAUGGCUUAACUGUGGGUCUGCGGUGGAUACGGGCAGGCUGGAGGCUGGUAGGGGCAAGCGGAAUUCCUGGUGUAGCGGUGAAAUGCGCAGAUAUCAGGAGGAACACCGGUGGCGAAGGCGGCUUGCUGGGCCAGUUCUGACGCUGAGGAGCGAAAGCGUGGGGAGCGAACAGG